Molecule: ribosomal RNA, 735 nt
Filed under: uncultured Fusobacterium sp.
Lineage: Bacteria; Fusobacteriati; Fusobacteriota; Fusobacteriia; Fusobacteriales; Fusobacteriaceae
Description: bacterial SSU rRNA
Rfam family: Bacterial small subunit ribosomal RNA
Source: RNAcentral
GAUGAACGCUGACAGAAUGCUUAACACAUGCAAGUCAACUUGAAUUUGGGUUUUUAACUUAGAUUUGGGUGGCGAACGGGUGAGUAACGCGUAAAGAACUUGCCUCACAGCUAGGGACAACAUUUAGAAAUGAAUGCUAAUACCUGAUAUUAUGAUUUUAAGGCAUCUUAGAAUUAUGAAAGCUAUAAGCACUGUGAGAGAGCUUUGCGUCCCAUUAGCUAGUUGGAGAGGUAACAGCUCACCAAGGCGAUGAUGGGUAGCCGGCCUGAGAGGGUGAACGGCCACAAGGGGACUGAGACACGGCCCUUACUCCUACGGGAGGCAGCAGUGGGGAAUAUUGGACAAUGGACCGAGAGUCUGAUCCAGCAAUUCUGUGUGCACGAUGAAGUUUUUCGGAAUGUAAAGUGCUUUCAGUUGGGAAGAAAAAAAUGACGGUACCAACAGAAGAAGUGACGGCUAAAUACGUGCCAGCAGCCGCGGUAAUACGUAUGUCACGAGCGUUAUCCGGAUUUAUUGGGCGUAAAGCGCGUCUAGGUGGUUAUGUAAGUCUGAUGUGAAAAUGCAGGGCUCAACUCUGUAUUGCGUUGGAAACUGUAUAACUAGAGUACUGGAGAGGUAAGCGGAACUACAAGUGUAGAGGUGAAAUUCGUAGAUAUUUGUAGGAAUGCCGAUGGGGAAGCCAGCUUACUGGACAGAUACUGACGCUAAAGCGCGAAAGCGUGGGUAGCAAACAGG